Molecule: non-coding RNA, 5317 nt
Organism: Phalacrocorax carbo (great cormorant)
Lineage: Eukaryota; Metazoa; Chordata; Aves; Suliformes; Phalacrocoracidae
Source: RefSeq, a predicted model, not a curated record
UAAUUUACAGAAUUCUAACCAUGAAAAGAUUAGCUGUAGUAAACACAUUGAUCUAUCCGAUUUGGUGUUUGGUUACCUGAUGUCCUAAUUCUGAUCUUUGAUUCAGCAUUCCAGUUCCCCCACUGCCUUUAUAAUGGCUCAGUAUAUGCCUUAAAAAUUUAACUUUAUCAAAAUUCCCACAUCUUAGAGUAUUGAAAAAUAACUCUGGAAGGAAUAUAUCUAGUAUAUCUAUUUCUCUACCCCACUGGAAGAUCAGUCAUAGUUAUGCUGUUGAUGAAGUUUGUUUUAACCUGGUUUAAAAACCAAGGAAUAGAAGACAAAGAUUCUGCAGAUUUAUGGCUUUACCUUUGAAAUUUUAUUUUAUGAAAGUAAAAAGCAUCCUUACUGUCAGCCAGUAGUCAAGUUCAUGGGCUCAGAGCCCAUCUGCUUUUUUUGCGACUUCGUUUUUUGCCAAUCUGCUAUGUAAUGCUACUUUUGGGGUGAUUCUCAUAUGUACUUAUCAUACAUAUAGGUCUCUUUUUUAAAUAUUAUUGAGUAUUUUAUCACAAUGCUACUUGGUGAUAACUGAAAUUACAUGUGUGUGCAUAUAUAUAUAUUUAACAUUUCACAUCAAAUGUUGGUUCCUUUCAAUCUAAAGCCUAGUAUUCCUUGGAGAGUGAAGAACUUGCAGAAUUGUCAACACACAUCCUUUUUGUGCAAGGAGCAUAGUUGACAAAUGUAUAUAGCAAGCAACAAGCUUCAUGCUGUACUAACACUCCAGUAACUCAGAAUUUUCAUGUGAUAAGUGAUGGUUACUUGAGGGUAAGGAACAGCAGCAGGGAUUCACCUGUAACAAAUAAAUAGGUUUGGCAUUAAGUCUAAAUGGUAUCCUCAAAUCACUCUUAAUUUUGUCUGGUAGGGUGCAAUGGUGCAUACUUACUCAAAUGAAUCUAGAUUAAUUUUUCAAAAUUUUGGUAUGAAGUUUCCUAUAUAUAAAAAGCCUCUUUGAGAUUUUCCCCUCUGUUUCUGAAUCCUGGCCUUUUUUUUCAUUAGUGUAGUCAUAUUAGUAAAUCUGCACUGGUAAGUAUAGAAGAUAAAUUACUUCCUAGGUUCAUACCAGUCGUUAGCCCAUUACAAUAUAAUGGAAAGGAUAUAAGGACUUCUUUUAAAUUGAGGUGCUCAAAUGACUUUAUGUAACACUUCAAACUUGUUUCUACAUGAUGUUAAAAGAUUUUUAUAGAAGAGGGAGAUGAGAUAUUAAUGCAGGGUCAAAGUAAAAGUGCAAAACAUUCUUAGGCACCCAAACGUGAUCAGUCCCAAACUUGGAAAUACUAAGUAAAAGCUCUAAACCAGGAAAAGUAAAAAACCAGAUCCAUUAUUCUCUCCUGUGAAGCCUAUGUAGAUACUAAUUACUGUGUAAUGGUAUUUAGAGCAGCAUAUAGAUUAAAUCAUAGUUGCCUUAGAACGCCAUGCACUCUGCUUUGGAGAACACUGAUCUAGAUAUCAUCAAAGAAUUAUAGUUGCAUACAUCAUUAGUAUGUUUGAUCGUAACAAUAUGUCCAUUUUAAGUAAGUCUCCUACCAGAGAUUAAAAUGCUGACCUCUAGUAGGAUGACUUUUCUUUCUGAAAAGAAAGUUAGAGGAGAGAACAGCAGGAUAUGGAAGUACUGACAAAUGGUCUGGCAUAGGGGAUGUUUGAAUCUGGAUUGGUUGAAAAUGCAGAGAAACUCAUCCAUGUGGAUUGGGGAAAAAAGUUGUGGUCAGAAUAUGUAUCAAUAUGCAGAAGACAGCAGUAGCUUUUGUACUUUCAUAAAUGCUUCUAGUUUCCUUACAGCUAACUAUUAGUUGAUAAAUUCCAAAUUCUGUUUUAUGUUGUUAUCUGGGGUAUUCAGACUAAAAUCAGGAACAAUGCUUACACAUGGGAACUAAGCUGGAUCUGAGUUUUUUAUAUUCAGGCACCUAAAUAGUGUCUGGUGCACAUCAGAUGCCACUUAGGACUAUGGACGACUGGUGUGCUUUUCUCAGCAGCUUCUCACUUUCCAUACAGCCUUUAAGUGUGUUAUGUAGACCACAGGUUGGAAAUCCCAGAACUGAGUUACUGCAAAGUGAAAGGAGAUCAAAUUUGCCAAGUGAAAAAUAUUUUGGACGGAGAUUUGAAAGGAGUGUUGUUAAAUAUAACAGUGAGCAAAGCCUGUGUGUGAGAUGAAGCUCAUUGAGAAAGUUUUUUCAAUCCAGGCAGGCUGGAGAUGAGAAAGAGAGAAAGUGAAUUCUGGUAGUAGAGGCAAAGGAGUCUGAAGUAUAUGUCAGUCUGUCAGCAGAGAGGAAGAUGAGGCAGUAAAACAGCUUUUGCUGAUCUUCAGCAUUCCCAGCAUAUUGUUGUAAGGAGGAAUCUUAACAGAUUUCCUGUAUACAAUAUAUGCUAGGCAUGCUAGCCUUUGGGAACUGGAUAUCAAGGAGGAGAGCUGAAAGUUGAUAUAGAGCCGUUGAUAUGGAAACUAGCUGUAGCGCUUGCCUGCUAGAAUGAUGGUCAUGUGGAUUAAAAAUGUUACUGCAGUGAGUUUAGAUUACAGUAAUACCUGGGAGGAAUGGUGGUCAUCUGGCCCCAAACAUGCGCUUAUGCAUUGGAUUUGCAUGGCAGGGGGGCUACAGGGGUGGCUUCUGUGAGAAGCUGCUGGAAGCUUCUCCCCAUGUCUGAUAGAGCCAAUGCCAGCUGGCUCAAAGAUAGACCUGCUGCUGGCCAAGGCUGAGCCAGUGGGCAACAGUAGUAGUGCCUAUGGGCUAACAUAUUUAAGAAGGGGGGAAGAAAAAAUCCCUGUGCAACUGCAUCUGGAGAGAGGAGUGAAGAUAUGAGAGAAACAACUCUGUAGACACCAAAAUCGGUGGAGAAGGAGGGGAAGAGGUGCUCCAGGCACCGGAGCUGCGAUUCCCCUGCAGCUGCGGUGAAGACCAUGGUGAGGCAGGCUGUCCCCCUGCAGCCCAUGGAGGUUAACAGUGGAGCAGAUACCUACCUGCAGCCUGUGGAGGACCCCGUGCCGGAGGAGGUGGAUGCCCAAAAGAGGGUGUGACCCCAUCACAGCACUGGGAAGCUCAUGCUGGAGAAGGUUCCUGGCAGGACUUGUGACCCCAUGGAGAUAGGAGCCCAGGCUGGAGCAGGUUUUCUGGCAAGACUUGUGACCCUGUGGGGGACCCAUGCUGUAGCAGUCAGUUCCUGAAGGACUGCACCCUGUGGAAAGGACCCAUGCUGCAGCAGUUCAUAAAGAACAGUAGCCUGUGGGAAGCACUAGCGUUGGAGAAGUUCAUGGAGAACUGUCUUCUGUGAGAGGGACCCCACGCUGGAACAGGGGAAGCAUGUAUGGACAUGUAUUGACAUGUGGCUGUCAAUACAAAAGGGUUGGUUUUUUUUCUUCUACUAGAUGUGACAUAGCAAAGCAUCCUGCUCUCUGCAACUUUGAUGUGGUGGAGAUUUGAAGAAGGCAGAAUAUUUUUUCAUUCUUAUAAUAGAUUUCCACAGGCAGGCAAGGCAUGAUAUGUAUGUGAAAGGAGAAAUGGAUAGGUUCCUCACGCUGACUGAAAAGCAGAUUAUGGAUUGGGCUAGUACAAAAGUUAACAUUUACAUUGUACUUAGGGAAGGCAUUUUCAGGGUAUUUCUGUGUCCCUCUUUUGUUCCAUUUAGAAAGAGUACAAGUGCUACUCAAAUACACAGAGUCUGCAUAGUAGUAUGUCAGAGUAUUAAUCUCUGCCAAGCAUGUGGAGGGGAAGGGCUCAUAAAAGAAUUAUGUGAACUUCUGUGUGUCUGCUAAGUCUACGUUUUUUAUUUGGAGGCAAUUUACUAUAUGUAACUGCAUAUAGUACUCAGUGUAAUAGAUUUUUUUUUUUGUUUUUUAGAAGGAAAGAAGGAAAUGUAUUUGGGGAGUUAAAUGUGUCGUUCUCUUGCCCAUUCCUAUAGGAAGCAGAAUGGUUAAGGGAAGGCAGUCAAAAAAUGCAUAGGAACUACGCAAGUAAUUAUAUCCAAAGCAUAGUGUUGGUUGAGUACUCAUUGAUGUUGCUGAGGCGAAGGCUUUUUGGUCUAUGUUUUAAUAAGAAGAGACAAAGAAACAUCUGAGAAAGGACUUUGAAAGUGUUGCAUACAUUGAAGUACAUCUUCUGUUGCCAUUUCUUUUUGCUUUCAGAACUUGAUGUGCUUCUGUACAUGUACCUUGAUAAAAAAAUAUUGGCUGCUGAAAUGUCUGUGUAGGGCUGAGGUCAGCUGAACAGGGAGAAUAGGUGUGGAAUGCUCUCUAACAGAGAAUGGUCAGCUGUGCUAAUCUGGGCCUUGACCAGAUGAUGACAGAGUUAGUCUAACAGAUUUUGCUGGUCUGCAUAUUUUUAUUGUGAUAUAUGCAGUAGUAGCAGUAGUUUUUUGUCAAAUAGUAUCCUCUCUAGCUUUCACUAGAAAGUGCUGUUGCUUUUGGUCAACAGCGAAUUUUUAAUUUUCCCAUAUCAUGUAAUGCUUUGCAUUUUCCCAAGUAUAGGUACUGUAUUAUGUUAACUGUGGUUUAAUGUAAUAUGAUACAGUUUUCCAAAUUGGGACUGAAUUUUUGUCUUAGCCAAAUUGCAAUAUAGUUCAGGUAUUUUAAUACAGGAAUGGAAAAGAAAUGGAGUUUUAUUAAAGGUCAUUGGAUUUUUUUUCCAGUAAAGUAUUGUAAUCAAAAAACCCUAAUUUAUCACACUAAUACAUUUUCAGCAAUAUAUGUUAAUUUCCAGAAUACAUUGGGACAGGUUGUUUUGUACAAAAUAGAAUUGGUUGUUGGAGAGGGAGGAAAAAUCCGUAUUAUAUUAGCCAGUAACCCAAUUGUUGCUACCUCUUUGGCCAGUCAUGCAUUUUUUCUAUGCAGAUUUCCUGUUUAUGGUGGAAGCAGUGAUACUACUGAGCUUCCUUGAUGCUUAGUUUAUCUGUGUCGUAAAAUACUUACAUUUUGGGGAGAAAGGAGCUGGAGAGGUGACAACUGUACACAGUGUUACGUGGACUAAACAGGAAGGUGCCCUGAAGCAGAGAGAGAAGACUAAGCAGUAGCUGUAUACACAGGAGUGUAAUGCUUGUGAAAGAUCCUGGAUCAACAGUUGCAGAGAUUGAACUCCUCUACCCACAGGAAAGGUUUUUCUACACCAGCAGGAGGUCUUCCCUUCCAUCUUAUGGGGACACUUACCUCUUGAUGAUGCCCCCUUCACAAUGAAGGGAAGAAAGGAUGGACGAGCAGCAAUGUGGAAUGGGGUGAUGUCCACACUUGGGUUUACAGUCAUAAUGAACACUGUCCUACUAACAUGGAGAACUGAAUAAAAGAGUUGUGAAUUCUAAGUCA